GUGGGGAAUCUUAGACAAUGGGGGAAACCCUGAUCUAGCCAUGCCGCGUGAUCGAUGAAGGCCUUAGGGUUGUAAAGAUCUUUCGCUGGGGAAGAUAAUGACUGUACCCAGUAAAGAAGCCCCGGCUAACUCCGUGCCAGCAGCCGCGGUAAUACGGAGGGGGCUAGCGUUAUUCGGAAUUACUGGGCGUAAAGCGCACGUAGGCGGACUGGAAAGUUGGGGGUGAAAUCCCGGGGCUCAACCUCGGAACUGCCUUCAAAACUCCCAGUCUUGAGUUCGAGAGAGGUGAGUGGAAUUCCGAGUGUAGAGGUGAAAUUCGUAGAUAUUCGGAGGAACACCAGUGGCGAAGGCGGCUCACUGGCUCGAUACUGACGCUGAGGUGCGAAAGCGUGGGGAGCAAACAGGAUUAGAAACCCCUGUAGUCC
This 425-nucleotide ribosomal RNA is filed under the name uncultured bacterium. RNAcentral's name for it is "partial 16S ribosomal RNA". It matches the Rfam family "Bacterial small subunit ribosomal RNA", at positions 354 to 796 of the family's 1533-position model. The record is from RNAcentral.